GGCAGCUUGCCCCGAAAGGGGGUGCUAUACAUGUUUCAACAAAUCUUCACAUUGAUUGUCGCACCACUUUUCGUGGGCUUAGUCAUUGAACUAGUUUCUCAUUGGUUAGACGAGAAAGACGACGAUUAAAAGCAAGUUGCUAACUAACCCACAACGCUAGCCGUCGC
Molecule: non-coding RNA, 167 nt
Filed under: Enterococcus massiliensis
Lineage: Bacteria; Bacillati; Bacillota; Bacilli; Lactobacillales; Enterococcaceae
Description: Enterococcus sRNA B11
Rfam family: Enterococcus sRNA B11
About the family: Name 'Ref' stands for RNA in E. faecalis.
Source: RNAcentral